This 203-nucleotide ribosomal RNA is filed under the name Vibrio parahaemolyticus. Its description in RNAcentral is "partial 23S ribosomal RNA". It matches the Rfam family "Bacterial large subunit ribosomal RNA", at positions 176 to 426 of the family's 2925-position model. The record is from RNAcentral. Lineage: Bacteria; Pseudomonadati; Pseudomonadota; Gammaproteobacteria; Vibrionales; Vibrionaceae.
GAGGCGAACCGGGGGAACUGAAACAUCUAAGUACCCCGAGGAAAAGAAAUCAACCGAGAUUCCGAAAGUAGCGGCGAGCGAAAUUGGACUAGCCCUUAAGCUUUACACGCGUUAGACGAACGGUCUGGAAAGUCCGACGAUACAGGGUGAUAGUCCCGUAGUUGACGACGUGUGUUCAGUGAAAUCGAGUAGGGCGGGACACG